This 1194-nucleotide long non-coding RNA is filed under the name Homo sapiens (human). RNAcentral describes it as "HSALNT0219146". The record is from RNAcentral. Lineage: Eukaryota; Metazoa; Chordata; Mammalia; Primates; Hominidae.
AUAAAAGCAGGCUGCCCGAGCUUGCAUUAGUAACUCGCUCGGGUCCCCUUCCGGAUUGUGGAAACUUUGUUCUUUCGCUGUAUGUAAUAACUCUUGCUACUGUAGCUCGCUUUUUGGGUCUACGCUGCUUCUAUAAGCUGUAACAUUCACAGGGAAGAUCUGCAGCUUCACUCCUGAGACCACGAGCCCACUGGAAAGAACAAACAACUCCCGAAGUGCUACCUUAUAGAGCUAUAACACUCACCGCGAAGGUCUGCAGCUUCACUCCUGAGCCAGGGAGACCACAAACCCACCAGAAGGAAAAAACUCCGAAUACAUCUGAACAUCAGGAGGGACAGACUCCAGACGGGCCACCUGAAAAGCUGUAACACUCACCGUGAGGGUCCGGGGCUUCAUUCUUGAAGUUAGUGAGACCAAGAACCCACCAAUUCGGGACACACUUGGACCAUCCGCUUCCCAGGAAGCGUCAGCCCUGGGGUGCCCAUGCCCAGAAGCCCACUCCAGCCCUGAUAGUCGCCUCCCAGCUGAGCCAGGAACCUGGGGCUGAGCUCCAUCCUCAACCUUAAAAACUUGUCAUCUCACCUGUCCCGAGGAUGUGCGGUACCUGCCCUACUUCUACCAUCCUCACCCUACUCUUUUCCUGGGCUAGCGUUAUGAUGUCUAAACCUAUCUAUCAUCCCGUUCUGUGCUCUGUAUAUUCAUUUUCCACAUAACGUAAAAUGUAGGUCUGGCUAAGCCCCCUCCACAUGGACAACGUGGGCCCUACUCUCCACAGACUCCAGCCACCUGCGACCCCUUCUGCCUCAUGCUACGUGUGAUCACAGCCUUUUCUCCUGUUGCUAUCCUGACCGAGAUGCUCCUCUAACAAGCUUGUCCACCCUUUCACACCCCUCAGCACACGCCCUGGCUUCAUAUGGCCGCCUGGUACCCUCCCUGCCGUUUCUGCCCAGAUCUGUUCUGUGCCCAGCAGGUGUUAUUGGCUUCAUCUACUUGCAGGUCUGUCCUUACUAACUGGAACACCCCCGAGGGCAGGAACGGUUUACCCCAGCAUGGAGCACAGUUCCGGGGCCCUAGGAGGAGCUCAGAGGACCUGUGGGAAAUGUUCCCAUGGGCAAUGACUCCCUGAAUGUAACGUCGUAUGUCACCUUGGAGGGAAAGACCCCAUAAAAACCUAAUCAUAUUCAAGGGUAAGUG